Molecule: small nuclear RNA, 187 nt
Organism: Erinaceus europaeus (western European hedgehog)
Lineage: Eukaryota; Metazoa; Chordata; Mammalia; Eulipotyphla; Erinaceidae
Gene: U2
Rfam family: U2 spliceosomal RNA
About the family: U2 is a small nuclear RNA (snRNA) component of the spliceosome (involved in pre-mRNA splicing).
Source: Ensembl
AUCGUUUCUCGGCCUUUUGGCUAAGAUCAAGUGUAGUAUCUAUUCUUAUCAGUUUAAAAAUGCAGGUAUCACACACGUUUCUUUCAAAAAUAAUAGAUUAUAUUAUGGACUGACAAAGUGUUUGUAGGUGCUAAAUUUGUCUUUAUUAGAUUAUUUUGCAAGUUCAAGUAAAUACUGGUAAACUGUA